RNAcentral lists this ribosomal RNA (502 nucleotides) under uncultured bacterium. Its description in RNAcentral is "partial 16S ribosomal RNA". It matches the Rfam family "Bacterial small subunit ribosomal RNA", at positions 43 to 523 of the family's 1533-position model. The record is from RNAcentral.
CAUGCUUAACACAUGCAAGUCGAACGGCAGCAUGUUCAGGAGACUUCGGUUGAAUGAAUGAUGGCGAGUGGCGGACGGGUGAGUAAUGCGUAGGGAUCUACCUUAAAGUGGGGGACAACCCGGGGAAACUCGGGCUAAUACCGCAUAAGCUCUAAGGAGGAAAGUGUGCGACUAGCGAUAGGCACACGCUUUAAGAAGAACCUGCGUCCGAUUAGCUAGUUGGUAGGGUAAAGGCCUACCAAGGCGACGAUCGGUAGCUGGUCUGAGAGGACGAUCAGCCACACUGGGACUGAGACACGGCCCAGACUCCUACGGGAGGCAGCAGUGGGGAAUAUUGGACAAUGGGGAGCAACCCUGAUCCAGCAAUGCCGCGUGUGUGAAGAAGGCCUGCGGGUUGUAAAGCACUUUCAGUGGGGAGGAAGGUGGUUUGUUUAAUAGACGAGCCAAUUGACGUUACCCACAGAAGAAGCACCGGCUAACUCUGUGCCAGCCGCCGCGGUAA